Molecule: unclassified non-coding RNA, 352 nt
Filed under: soil metagenome
Description: partial contains 5.8S ribosomal RNA, internal transcribed spacer 2, and large subunit ribosomal RNA
Rfam family: 5.8S ribosomal RNA (bases 1-120)
Source: RNAcentral
GAUGAAGAACGCAGCGAAAUGCGAUAAGUAAUGUGAAUUGCAGAAUUCAGUGAAUCAUCGAAUCUUUGAACGCACAUUGCGCCCGCCAGUAUUCUGGCGGGCAUGCCUGUUCGAGCGUCAUUACAACCCUCAGGCCCCCGGGCCUGGCGUUGGGGAUCGGCGGAGCCCCCCGUGGGCACACGCCGUCCCCCAAAUACAGUGGCGGUCCCGCCGCAGCUUCCAUCGCGUAGUAGCUAACACCUCGCGACUGGAGAGCGGCGCGGCCACGCCGUAAAACACCCAACGCUUCUGAAGUUGACCUCGAAUCAGGUAGGAAUACCCGCUGAACUUAAGCAUAUCAAUAAGCGGAGGA